ACCGGACCCACGCUACCCCAUCCCGAACUAGGUCGUGAAACGGUGCAGCGCCGAAGGUACUGGCGGGAGACCCGCUGGGAGAGUAGGUCCGUGCAUCCG
RNAcentral lists this ribosomal RNA (99 nucleotides) under Chloroflexaceae bacterium. The record is from RNAcentral. Lineage: Bacteria; Bacillati; Chloroflexota; Chloroflexia; Chloroflexales; Chloroflexaceae.